RNAcentral lists this long non-coding RNA (477 nucleotides) under Oncorhynchus mykiss (rainbow trout). RNAcentral describes it as "lncRNA (ENSOMYG00000057698.1)". The record is from RNAcentral. Lineage: Eukaryota; Metazoa; Chordata; Actinopteri; Salmoniformes; Salmonidae.
CUCAUCCUCUCUGUCCUUCUAUCCCUCUAUCUAAUGUGUCUCUCUAUGAGGCUGUUCCAUCUCUCUCAUCCUCUCUGUCCUUCUAUCCCUCUAUCUAAUGUGUCUCUCUAUGAGGCUGUUCCAUCUCUCUCAUCCUCUCUGUCCUUCUAUCCCUCUAUCUAAUGUGUCUCUCUGAGGCUGUUCCAUCUCUCUCAUCCUCUCUGUCCUUCUAUCCCUCUAUCUAAUGUGUCUCUCUAUGAGGCUGUUCCAUCUCUCUCAUCCUCUCUGUCCUUCUAUCCCUCUAUCUAAUGUGUCUCUCUAUGAGGCUGUUCCAUCUCUCUCAUCCUCUCUGUCCUUCUAUCUAAUGUGUCUCUCUAUGAGGCUGUUCCAUCUCUCUCAUCCUCUCUGUCCUUCUAUCCCUCUAUCUAAUGUGUCUCUCUAUGAGGCUGUUCCAUCUCUCUCAUCCUCUCUGUCCUUCUAUCCCUCUAUCUAAUGUGU